This 229-nucleotide long non-coding RNA is filed under the name Homo sapiens (human). RNAcentral describes it as "HSALNT0366831". Lineage: Eukaryota; Metazoa; Chordata; Mammalia; Primates; Hominidae. The record is from RNAcentral.
GCCCGGCCUUAAACACGUUGUUUAAUACAGCCUCACUCAUGGUUUCCUGAGGCAUCUGAAGAAUGAAACACCUCAGGGAAGACAGAGAAGAGGUCACGUGAACACACCAAAAAGAUGGCCAUUGUCCAUGAGCUGGAAAGAGAGCCCUCACCAGAACCCAGCCAUCCUGCACCCUGAUCAUGGACUUCUAGCCUCGAGAAUUGUGAGAAAAUAAAUCUCUGUUAUUUGA